CCUACGGGAGGCAGCAGUGAGGAAUAUUGGUCAAUGGUCGGGAGACUGAACCAGCCAAGCCGCGUGAGGGAUGAAGGUACAGAGUAUUGUAAACCUCUUUUGUCAGGGAACAAAGGCGGGGACGUGUCCCCGGAUGAGUGUACCUGAAGAAAAAGCAUCGGCUAACUCCGUGCCAGCAGCCGCGGUAAUACGGAGGAUGCGAGCUUUAUCCGCAUUUAUUGGGUGAAAGGGGGGCGAAGGCGGUCUGUAGAGUCAGCGGUCAAAGCCCGGGGCCAAACCCCGGCCCGCCGUUGAAACUGGCAGUCUCGAGUUGGAGAGAAGUAUGCGGAAUGCGCGGUGUAGCGGUGAAAUGCAUAGAUAUCGCGCAGAACUCCGAUUGCGAAGGCAGCAUGCCGGCUCCACACUGACGCUGAGGCACGAAAGCGUGGGUAUCGAACAGGAUUAGAUACCCGGGUAGUC
This 459-nucleotide ribosomal RNA is filed under the name uncultured bacterium. Its description in RNAcentral is "partial 16S ribosomal RNA". It matches the Rfam family "Bacterial small subunit ribosomal RNA", at positions 338 to 795 of the family's 1533-position model. The record is from RNAcentral.